This 922-nucleotide ribosomal RNA is filed under the name Halomonas sp. N39(2010). Its description in RNAcentral is "bacterial SSU rRNA". It matches the Rfam family "Bacterial small subunit ribosomal RNA", at positions 65 to 984 of the family's 1533-position model. The record is from RNAcentral. Lineage: Bacteria; Pseudomonadati; Pseudomonadota; Gammaproteobacteria; Oceanospirillales; Halomonadaceae.
AGCGGUAACAGAUCCAGCUUGCUGGAUGCUGACGAGCGGCGGACGGGUGAGUAAUGCAUAGGAAUCUGCCCGAUAGUGGGGGAUAACCUGGGGAAACCCAGGCUAAUACCGCAUACGUCCUACGGGAGAAAGGGGGCUCCGGCUCCCGCUAUGGGAUGAGCCUAUGUCGGAUUAGCUAGUUGGUGAGGUAACGGCUCACCAAGGCCACGAUCCGUAGCUGGUCUGAGAGGAUGAUCAGCCACAUCGGGACUGAGACACGGCCCGAACUCCUACGGGAGGCAGCAGUGGGGAAUAUUGGACAAUGGGGGAAACCCUGAUCCAGCCAUGCCGCGUGUGUGAAGAAGGCCCUCGGGUUGUAAAGCACUUUCAGCGAGGAAGAACGCCUAGCGGUUAAUACCCGCUAGGAAAGACAUCACUCGCAGAAGAAGCACCGGCUAACUCCGUGCCAGCAGCCGCGGUAAUACGGAGGGUGCAAGCGUUAAUCGGAAUUACUGGGCGUAAAGCGCGCGUAGGUGGCUUGAUAAGCCGGUUGUGAAAGCCCCGGGCUCAACCUGGGAACGGCAUCCGGAACUGUCAAGCUAGAGUGCAGGAGAGGAAGGUAGAAUUCCCGGUGUAGCGGUGAAAUGCGUAGAGAUCGGGAGGAAUACCAGUGGCGAAGGCGGCCUUCUGGACUGACACUGACACUGAGGUGCGAAAGCGUGGGUAGCAAACAGGAUUAGAUACCCUGGUAGUCCACGCCGUAAACGAUGUCGACCAGCCGUUGGGUGCCUAGCGCACUUUGUGGCGAAGUUAACGCGAUAAGUCGACCGCCUGGGGAGUACGGCCGCAAGGUUAAAACUCAAAUGAAUUGACGGGGGCCCGCACAAGCGGUGGAGCAUGUGGUUUAAUUCGAUGCAACGCGAAGAACCUUACCUACUCUUGA